This 407-nucleotide ribosomal RNA is filed under the name uncultured bacterium. Its description in RNAcentral is "bacterial SSU rRNA". It matches the Rfam family "Bacterial small subunit ribosomal RNA", at positions 100 to 507 of the family's 1533-position model. The record is from RNAcentral.
CACGGGUGCGUAACGCGUAGGUAAUCUGCCCUGAGGUCUGACAUAACCCGUCGAAAGGCGGGCUAACAUCAGAUGAUAUAUGAUCACGACAUCGUGGAAAUAUCAAAUCUUCGGAGCCUUGGGAUGAGCCUGCGUCUGACUUAGGUAGUUGGCGGAGUAAUAGCCCACCAAGCCUACGAUCAGUAGCUGGUCUGAGAGGAUGAUCAGCCACACUUGGAACUGAGACACGGUCCAGACUCCUACGGGAGGCAGCAGUAAGGAAUAUUGCUCAAUGGGGGAAACCCUGAAGCAGGCAACGCCGCGUGAAGGAUGAAAUACUUUUGUAUGUAAACUUCUAGUAAGAUGGGAAAAUAUUCUCCUCGGGAGAAUUGAUUGUACCAUCAGAGUAAGCCCCGGCUAACUACGUG